Non-coding RNA from Poecilia reticulata (guppy), 3135 nucleotides. The record is from RefSeq and is a predicted model, not a curated record. NCBI's taxonomy places the organism in Eukaryota, Metazoa, Chordata, Actinopteri, Cyprinodontiformes, Poeciliidae.
UUUGAGCAAGAUAUAGAAACUUGUUUAAGUAAAUAAUUCCUUAAUAUUGAUUAAAACAACUGUUAGUUAUUUAUAAUAUGAAACGUUAUGUGAAAUAAUCUGAAGAUGUAAGAAAUUAAACAAAUAGACCAUUCAGUCAGUCUUUAAACAGAAAAAUAAAACAAAUUUAAAGCUCUCACAUCUCUAUAUUUCCUCCUUCCGUAUCACAGACGGCUCCCAUAUGUGAGCAUUUAUCAGAGCUAGCUUGGUAAAUCUGGCUAAUCGCUGCUAAUAUUCUCCAUCAAAAUGAGAAAAUUGACACUUGGCUAUUGAGAUUUUUUCUUUUAAAUUCUAUACUUCUUUAAAAAUAUAUAUUGAGCCAGCCAGGUUGGCUGGCCUUCUACUUAAGAAUCUGUAAGUACACUUCUGUCUGUUUUGUCUAUAUUGUAUCAAAUUUUAGGGAGAUUUUUAAAUCGCUAUUUAAAACGUGUUGUUCGUAAUGGUUCGGAUGACCGGAGUACCCCAAAAGAGACCUAAUUACUUGUUUCUUUUUUUUUUUUUUUUUUUUGCUUUUCUUUUAGGUGAUUUUUUUUUUAAUAUAUAUUUUUAAAACACACACACAAUAAGUCAUCUGCCAUCGUUAAGAGUACUAUGGAGAAGCGCGACAAAGGCUUGCAAAGGCAGAAGCAACAUCCGAUCUUCAAACAGAUGAUAUUCCAGAAAAGUGACUAGAAGGUAAUGUGGAACAGGGACUUCUGUAACACACAACUCUAGAUCUUCUGUCUCCCUAGUUGUCAUUUGAGCUGCUCUGUUAUUUUACCCAUUUGGUUCUCUUWGCUUUACUUUUUCCUCCUAAUCCUUCAAAAUUUAUUGUGACUUAAAUUGAUACAUAUAUUAACCAUUAAUAUUUUGUCCAUGUAUAAAAGUAAGUAUAUAAGCUAUGUGUGAAGCAAUAACAAAUCAAUUUUAAAAUGUUGUCUUGUAAUUGUCAUUAUACUUAAGGUUGCCGUGGUUGCAGAAAUUGGAGGAGGAUCUAUAGAUGAUGCAGUAAAAUGAGCUGUACGAUAAACAAUCCUAAGUUACUAAAUCAUAACUUCCUGAUAGCCUGGCUAGCUGAUUAAUACUGGUUCUGAUUGGCUAGCUGAUUAAUACUGGCUCUGAUUGGCUAGAUGAUUAAUACUGGUUCUGAUUGGCUGUUUCUGACUGAGCUGAGUAAUUCUGCAGAAAUAGGGAGGAGGUUGAGGAGAUCGAUUAUUUUCAGAGAUUAUCUUAUUUUAGGACAGCAAAAGUUUUAAUACAUAUGUAAAAUAUUUUUGUUUAAGUUACAUGCUGCAGCUUUAAGCAGACUUUCGGUGUGAGAGUUCACUGCUGGGUGGAGGUUGAGCAGCGCUACGUCUGCGAAAUAUUAUUGCCAGUAGUGGCGGUUCAAGAACGAGAGCAGAACCAGCAUCUUACACCGUUGGCGCAACGACCAAAAUCAUUUUUCGGUGUAUUUGUUGAGCUUUCUGGCCGUGAUGCUAAUCUGGGUGAAUGUCACUAGUUGUUCGCUGCUUUAACUUCUAUCUGACCACUCCAGAUGUCCUUUUGUUUCUACAUUGGGCCUCGAUGUAGCCAAACUCCCAAGUUUUUAAAUGCCAUAUUAGAUUCAUUAUGUUGGUGCAUUUGACAAGGUAAUUUUCCAACCCAACACGCAAACAUCCCCAUUCACUCAGAGCGUUAUAGUUCCAUACGACAGGAUUUGUUGUUGCGCCCUUGCGCCGUGUCACAGAAAGAGUAGAUCAGCUGCACACGCAGGCUGCAAAUGAGAUACAUGUGAUCCGCAACAAGUGACCGUGAUCGGCGAUCACCAAUCAUACACUUUUUCACGGAAAUCCACCGAUUGUGAUCGGUGGCCGAUCGAUCGGCACACCUCUAAUAUGUACAUAAUAAUAAUGACUCAAGAGUGCUUUGACUUUGGCAGAUGUCUGCAAGCAUGUCUGCCCUGUGAAGGGGAAGAUGCAAAUCUCAUUAAUGUUACAUUGUACAUUGACUGGGCAUAUCCAGAGUGCAAAUCUUCUUUCUCUUAAGCCAUUCCUUUUGCUGGAAUGCUUUGGAUCAUUGUCUUGUUGCAUAAUCCAUUUCCGUCCCAGCUUCAACUCCCUGCCUGAUGGCAGGAGAUUCUGGUCAAGAAUUUGUUGAUAGUCCUGGGAAUUGAUGGUUCCCUGGAUCAUAUGGAGUCGUCCAGGUCAGGAGGCAGAAAAGCAGGCCCAGAUUUUCACACUUCCACCACCAUGCUUCACUGUAGGGAGGAGGUACUUUUCUGUAAAUGCAAUGUUGACUUUUCUCCAAACAUGGCACUUUUGAUUGAGGCCAAAUAAUUCAUAAUUCAAUUUUGGACUCAUCCAUCCAGAGAAUGGACUUCCAGAAAGCCUCUGGUUUGUCAAAGUGCUCUCUGGCAAAGCUUAAACGGGCAACUUUGUUCUUUCUUGAGAGUAGAGGCUUCUUUCUAGAAGCUCUCCCAUGAAUACCAUGUCUAUUGAUAUUUUGCCUGAUUGGAGAUGCAUGUACAUUUAUCCCAGAUGCUGACAGAGAGGUCUGCAGCUCUCUAGAGGUGAUGCSUGGGUUGGCCUUUACCUGCAUUAUUAUUUUUCUGGUGUUUCUUUGUGGAAGUUUUGGUGGCUGUCCACUUCUGGRCAGGGUUGCGGUGAUGCCUAGUGCCCUCCAUUUGUAAAUGAUUUGUCUUACAGUGGAUGGAUGAAGCUGGAAUCUUUUGGUGAUGAUCCUGUAGCUUUCCCCAGACUGAUGGGCUGUCACCACCUUGCUGAUAUCCUCAGAUGUCUCCUUUCCUCUCAGCGUUGUCGAUCUCUUCUUUAUGCCUUGACACAACCAACCAAAUCACUUUGGUCCUCUCCCUUUCAACCAGUGUGGCCCAAAACUUUUCCCAAGGAUGUCUCAUUUGAUUUGUCUGUCUAACUGAUUACUUGAGCACUCUGAUGUGUUUCACCUGAGUCUUUUACCUAGUUGACUUUACCAGUGCAGCUGUGGUUCAUUUACUUUUGCAGAUGCUCUGAUUCCAUUUUCCAGUUAGUUUGCUUUCAACUCACACAUUUUCCUCAAAACAAGUGAAUGGAAUUGAUGAACAUAAACCUGACAUUUCAUAUUUAAAAACUGGUAAUG